This is a long non-coding RNA of Carassius auratus (goldfish), 161 nucleotides long. RefSeq lists it as uncharacterized. The transcript has 2 exons. NCBI's taxonomy places the organism in Eukaryota, Metazoa, Chordata, Actinopteri, Cypriniformes, Cyprinidae. The record is from RefSeq and is a predicted model, not a curated record.
GAGUGAAACACCUCAGUGAUCUACUGAUGAACACACAAUUCAAGCUGGAGAAACUAGAUCUGCGUGAUUGCAGUAUGACAGAGAAACAGUGUGUCAUCCUGACUUCAGCUCUGAAAUCAAACCCAUCACACCUGAGAGAACUGAACCUGAGUCUGAAUGAA